AAUUGAGUUAGAGGUUGCAUUUUUAAAUAUUAACUUGUCAGAAGUAUUAUGGUACAUGUGUUGAACAAGUGAAAGGUAAAAAUGCCGAAAUAAAUACAAUCCAUAAGUUGUAUUUGUUGGGACAGUUUUCGAAUAGAGACUGUACUGUCACAGUUUGUGAUGUGCUACCUUAUAU
Molecule: non-coding RNA, 175 nt
Filed under: Staphylococcus simiae
Lineage: Bacteria; Bacillati; Bacillota; Bacilli; Caryophanales; Staphylococcaceae
Description: Lysine sequence
Rfam family: Lysine riboswitch aptamer
About the family: Riboswitches are metabolite binding domains within certain messenger RNAs that serve as precision sensors for their corresponding targets.
Source: RNAcentral